GGGGCUAGCGUUGCUCGGAAUCACUGGGCGUAAAGCGCACGUAGGCGGCUUUUUAAGUCAGGGGUGAAAUCCUGGAGCUCAACUCCAGAACUGCCUUUGAUACUGGGAAGCUUGAGUCCGGGAGAGGUGAGUGGAACUCCGAGUGUAGAGGUGAAAUUCGUAGAUAUUCGGAAGAACACCAGUGGCGAAGGCGGCUCACUGGCCCGGUACUGACGCUGAGGUGCGAAAGCGUGGGGAGCAAACAGG
This 246-nucleotide ribosomal RNA is filed under the name uncultured bacterium. RNAcentral describes it as "partial 16S ribosomal RNA". It matches the Rfam family "Bacterial small subunit ribosomal RNA", at positions 531 to 776 of the family's 1533-position model. The record is from RNAcentral.